This 301-nucleotide ribosomal RNA is filed under the name uncultured bacterium. Its description in RNAcentral is "partial 16S ribosomal RNA". It matches the Rfam family "Bacterial small subunit ribosomal RNA", at positions 509 to 807 of the family's 1533-position model. The record is from RNAcentral.
CAGUAGCCGCGGUAAUACGUAGGUGGCAAGCGUUGUCCGGAAUUAUUGGGCGUAAAGGGCUCGCAGGCGGUUUCUUAAGUCUGAUGUGGAAGCCCCCGGCUCAACCGGGGAGGGUCAUUGGAAACUGGGAAACUUGAGUGCAGAAGAGGAGAGUGGAAUUCCACGUGUAGCGGUGAAAUGCGUAGAGAUGUGGAGGAACACCAGUGGCGAAGGCGACUCUCUGGUCUGUAACUGACGCUGAGGAGCGAAAGCGUGGGGAGCGAACAGGAUUAGAGACCCCUGUAGUCCCUGUCUCUUAUAC